This 191-nucleotide ribosomal RNA is filed under the name uncultured bacterium. RNAcentral's name for it is "partial 16S ribosomal RNA". It matches the Rfam family "Bacterial small subunit ribosomal RNA", at positions 1302 to 1500 of the family's 1533-position model. The record is from RNAcentral.
GGUCUGCAACCCGACUCCAUGAAGCUGGAUUCGCUAGUAAUCGCGCAUCAGCCACGGCGCGGUGAAUACGUUCCCGGGCCUUGUACACACCGCCCGUCAAGCCAUGGAAGCCGGGGGUGCCUGAAGUGCGCUGCCGCAAGGAGCGCCCUAGGGUAAAGCCGGUGACUGGGGCUAAGUCGUAACAAGGUACC